Passer montanus (Eurasian tree sparrow) is the source of this 1045-nucleotide long non-coding RNA. RefSeq lists it as uncharacterized. The transcript is spliced from 5 exons. Lineage: Eukaryota; Metazoa; Chordata; Aves; Passeriformes; Passeridae. The record is from RefSeq and is a predicted model, not a curated record.
AAAAAGACCAGGGAAGAAGAGGUCCAUCACAGUAAGGGUGCAACGCCUACCUGAGACCCGAUCUGCUCCCUUCUGCCUUUGAUGUUCCUCACUCUGCGCCAGGGGUCACAGUGCUGGCAGACAUGCCAGGGGGUAUGAAUGAUUUAAAGCAACAGGUGAAAGUCUUUAAAUGAGUGUAUUUACCAGCACCUUUCAAGGACUCUGUAUCAGCUAUGCUUGAUCGUAUUCCAUGAGCGUUCUCAGAUGCACUUUCCUUUGUGUUGCUGUUUAGUGGCACGGUCACAUUUCAUACACAAACCAACAGAAAGUAGCACACCUCAGAUUUUGACAACUGUAUUCAACCUCCCUUACCCAUCAUGAGUGGUCCUUCUGACAUCUUCACUUCAACUAUGCAGAUUUGAAGAACCUUAAAAUGGUAGGAGAUGGACAUUGAGGAGAUCUGAUAACGGCUUGGGUGCCACUCUGGAAAUCAUCUGAUGUCAGUGGAUGAGCAUAGUUGAUGUCUAAGAAGAGGUGCACAAGAUACAGAAGUCCUUACGUCAAACUCUCCUGCUUUCACAGUGUGAAAGUGUCAAAAUCAGUUUGAAAUUCAAUUCAUCCAUGGAUAAUAUAAAAAUUUCAUAAAAAUAUAAGGUAAAAGUAUACUACAUAAGCCCACAGCAUCAAAACAUCCACAAAUAUAAAUGCACAACAUAUCUACCUUCUUGUCUGGUUUCUGCACAUUUUCUACAUAUUUGUGUAAUGGAGACUUUCUUUAAAAAAUGGCCACUGAUUCAAAUCACAUAAUCCACGAUUUUACUUUGAAGACCAAUCAACAUGUAGGCAGCUACACUGUUAUCUUCUCUAUGAGCUCCCUUCCAGAUUUUCAUAUGCUGGAAAGAUUAUAGCACCAUAUAAUGAGCUACAUGUACAUCCAUGCUAUCUGACAUCACUAGCCUGUAUAUACACACCCCUAAAAAAAUAAAUUGUGUAUUCAGAUAUCUCAGCCUGUCUUCCUGGCAAUAACUCAACCAAUCUUUUCACUAGAAGCUCUCACCAUCUUACC